AUUGAACGCUGGCGGCAGGCCUAACACAUGCAAGUCGAGCGGAUGAAGGGAGCUUGCUCCUGGAUUCAGCGGCGGACGGGCGAGUAAUGCCUAGGAAUCUGCCUGGUAGUGGGGGAUAACGUCCGGAAAUGGGCGCUAAUACCGCAUACGUCCUGAGGGAGAACGUGGGGGAUCUUCGGACCUCACGCUAUCAGAUGAGCCUAGGUCGGAUUAGCUAGUUGGUGGGGUAAAGGCCUACCAAGGCGACGAUCCGUAACUGGUCUGAGAGGAUGAUCAGUCACACUGGAACUGAGACACGGUCCAGACUCCUACGGGAGGCAGCAGUGGGGAAUAUUGGACAAUGGGCGAAAGCCUGAUCCAGCCAUGCCGCGUGGGUGAAGAAGGUCUUCGGAUUGUAAAGCACUUUAAGUUGGGAGGAAGGGCAGUAAGUUAAUACCUUGCUGUUUUGACGUUACCAACAGAAUAAGCACCGGCUAACUUCGUG
This 484-nucleotide ribosomal RNA is filed under the name uncultured bacterium. Its description in RNAcentral is "partial 16S ribosomal RNA". It matches the Rfam family "Bacterial small subunit ribosomal RNA", at positions 30 to 507 of the family's 1533-position model. The record is from RNAcentral.